RNAcentral lists this transfer RNA (72 nucleotides) under Pseudomonadota bacterium. RNAcentral describes it as "tRNA-Arg". It matches the Rfam family "tRNA". Rfam says of the family: Transfer RNA (tRNA) molecules are approximately 80 nucleotides in length. Their secondary structure includes four short double-helical elements and three loops (D, anti-codon, and T loops). The record is from RNAcentral. Lineage: Bacteria; Pseudomonadati; Pseudomonadota. RNAcentral also lists the same sequence under 2 other names.
GCCCCCAUAGCUCAGUGGAUAGAGCGUUGCCCUCCGGAGGCAGAGACCCGCGUUCGAGUCGCGGUGGGGGCA